Molecule: ribosomal RNA, 495 nt
Filed under: uncultured bacterium
Lineage: Bacteria
Description: partial 16S ribosomal RNA
Rfam family: Bacterial small subunit ribosomal RNA
Source: RNAcentral
GACGAACGCUGGCGGCGUGCCUAAUACAUGCAAGUAGAACGCUGAAGGAGGAGCUUGCUCUUCUGGAUGAGUUGCGAACGGGUGAGUAACGCGUAGGUAACCUGCCUGGUAGCGGGGGAUAACUAUUGGAAACGAUAGCUAAUACCGCAUAAGAGUAGAUGUUGCAUGACAUUUACUUAAAAGGUGCAAUUGCAUCACUACCAGAUGGACCUGCGUUGUAUUAGCUAGUUGGUGGGGUAACGGCUUACCAAGGCGACGAUACAUAGCCGACCUGAGAGGGUGAUGGGCGACACUUGGACUGAGACACGGCGCAGACUCCUACGGGAGGCAGCAGUAGGGAAUGUUCGGCAAUGGACGGAAGUCUGACCGAGCAACGCCGCGUGAGUGAAGAAGGGUUUCGGAUCGUACAGCUCUGGUGUAAGAGAAGAACGAGUGAGAGAGUGUAAAGUCCACGCGAUGACGGGAUAUUACCAGACAGGAACGGCUAACUAAGUG